Mauremys reevesii (Reeves's turtle) is the source of this 878-nucleotide long non-coding RNA. RefSeq lists it as uncharacterized. Lineage: Eukaryota; Metazoa; Chordata; Testudines; Geoemydidae. The transcript has 2 exons. The record is from RefSeq and is a predicted model, not a curated record.
UCAAAGCCCUUUAACAAAAGAGUAAGUAUCUUUGUCAUCAUUUCACAGGUUGGGAAAAUAAGCAACUUGUCCAAGGUCACACACACAGCAUGCCAGUGGCAGGGCUGGGAACAGAAUCCAGGUCUCCUGUGUCCCAGUUUAUUGCCAAUAACCAACCUUGGGGCAAAAAACCCUCACCAAAAUCUGCUCCAUGGAAAAUACUGUAGCAUAUGGACAAGUUAACGGGUUAUUGGAAGGCAAACACAGUAGGAGAAAGCCCUAAUGCAUUCAUCUCAGAUGUACAUCUCUAGAGAAGAAAAUAAAUGGGAUGUUACUGUAGGAUCUGAUCCCUUAUUCGCAAGGAGUGCUCCCUACUCAUUUGAGUAGUUCUGUUAGCUCUGAAGACUGCUACCGACAGUAAGAACUGCCGAACUAGGGCCAUCAGUUGUAGCGUUAGAGGAAUGAAACAUACAUCAAAACACGAAUAACCACCACCCAGAGUAUUACAUGCUCUCUGAAAUAUAUGUCAGCACACCUUGCAGAAGAUCUAACUGCACUGGAGGGACCAUCAUUCAUGGCAAGCAGAUGAUACCAGAAUAGCUGAAAGGAGCUGGGAAGACAGAUACCCCAUACUUCCAGUGGAGAGACGUGCUGCAUUUAAGAUACUCGAGAUCCACGCCUCAGUAAUUACGGAGAACCCACCCCAGGCAAGGCUACAGCAGAUAAUUCCAAACCUGAGGACUGAUUCAUUAUAAAACUGGGUUGCAAAUACAAACUGAUGUCAAGUUCCGUGCUUUGCUUCCGGGUUUGUCCCACUACCCUGCAUCUAUUGUAUAAUUUAUCGAAACACAACCAGCAGUGCACUACUGAGACAUGCAGUAAAACAAGCCCUGAUCACA